This 1343-nucleotide ribosomal RNA is filed under the name uncultured bacterium. RNAcentral describes it as "16S ribosomal RNA". It matches the Rfam family "Bacterial small subunit ribosomal RNA", at positions 28 to 1378 of the family's 1533-position model. The record is from RNAcentral.
GACGAACGCUGGUUGCGUGCUUAACACAUGCAAGUCGAACGGAAAGGCCCUGCUUUUGUGGGGUGCUCGAGUGGCGAACGGGUGAGUAACACGUGAGUAACCUGCCCUUGACUUUGGGAUAACUUCAGGAAACUGGGGCUAAUACCGGAUAGGAGCUCCUGCUGCAUGGUGGGGGUUGGAAAGUUUCGGCGGUUGGGGAUGGACUCGCGGCUUAUCAGCUUGUUGGUGGGGUAGUGGCUUACCAAGGCUUUGACGGGUAGCCGGCCUGAGAGGGUGACCGGCCACAUUGGGACUGAGAUACGGCCCAGACUCCUACGGGAGGCAGCAGUGGGGAAUAUUGCACAAUGGGCGGAAGCCUGAUGCAGCAACGCCGCGUGCGGGAUGACGGCCUUCGGGUUGUAAACCGCUUUCGCCUGUGACGAAGCGUGAGUGACGGUAAUGGGUAAAGAAGCACCGGCUAACUACGUGCCAGCAGCCGCGGUGAUACGUAGGGUGCGAGCGUUGUCCGGAUUUAUUGGGCGUAAAGGGCUCGUAGGUGGUUGAUCGCGUCGGAAGUGUAAUCUUGGGGCUUAACCCUGAGCGUGCUUUCGAUACGGGUUGACUUGAGGAAGGUAGGGGAGAAUGGAAUUCCUGGUGGAGCGGUGGAAUGCGCAGAUAUCAGGAGGAACACCAGUGGCGAAGGCGGUUCUCUGGGCCUUUCCUGACGCUGAGGAGCGAAGGCGUGGGGAGCGAACAGGCUUAGAUACCCUGGUAGUCCACGCUGUAAACGGUGGGUACUAGGUGUGGGGUCCAUUCCACGGGUUCCGUGCCGUAGCUAACGCUUUAAGUACCCCGCCUGGGGAGUACGGCCGCAAGGCUAAAACUCAAAGGAAUUGACGGGGCCCCGCACAAGCGGCGGAGCAUGCGGAUUAAUUCGAUGCAACGCGUAGAACCUUACCUGGGUUUGACAUGGAUCGGGAGCGCUCAGAGAUGGGUGUGCCUCUUUUGGGGUCGGUUCACAGGUGGUGCAUGGCUGUCGUCAGCUCGUGUCGUGAGAUGUUGGGUUAAGUCCCGCAACGAGCGCAACCCUUGUUCACUGUUGCCAGCACGUUAUGGUGGGGACUCAGUGGAGACCGCCGGGGUCAACUCGGAGGAAGGUGGGGAUGACGUCAAGUCAUCAUGCCCCUUAUGUCCAGGGCUUCACGCAUGCUACAAUGGCUGGUACAGAGAGUGGCGAGCCUGUGAGGGUGAGCGAAUCUCGGAAAGCCGGUCUCAGUUCGGAUUGGGGUCUGCAACUCGACCUCAUGAAGUCGGAGUCGCUAGUAAUCGCAGAUCAGCAACGCUGCGGUGAAUACGUUCCCGGG